UAACUUAAAGGGAAUUGACGGAAGGGCACCACCAGGGGUGGAGCCUGCGGCUUAAUUUGACUCAACACGGGGAAACUCACCAGGUCCAGACACAAUGAGGAUUGACAGAUUGAGAGCUCUUUCUUGAUUUUGUGGGUGGUGGUGCAUGGCCGUUCUUAGUUGGUGGAGUGAUUUGUCUGCUUAAUUGCGAUAACGAACGAGACCUUAACCUGCUAAAUAGCCUGUAUUGCUUUGGCAGUACACCGGCUUCUUAGAGGGACUAUCGGCUCAAGCCGAUGGAAGUUUGAGGCAAUAACAGGGCUGUGAUGCC
Molecule: ribosomal RNA, 310 nt
Filed under: Beauveria bassiana
Lineage: Eukaryota; Fungi; Ascomycota; Sordariomycetes; Hypocreales; Cordycipitaceae
Description: SSU rRNA
Rfam family: Eukaryotic small subunit ribosomal RNA
Source: RNAcentral